Non-coding RNA from Ixodes scapularis (black-legged tick), 82 nucleotides. NCBI's taxonomy places the organism in Eukaryota, Metazoa, Arthropoda, Arachnida, Ixodida, Ixodidae. The record is from Rfam.
GCAGUCGUGGCCGAGUGGUUAAGGCGGUGGACUAGAAAUCCAAUGGGAUCUCCCCGCACAGGUUUGUAUCCUGUCGACAACG